GGGGACGCACUGGUUUCGACGGGGUUGUCGAAGUUGGGAUAGCGGGUAGAGGAUUCUCGUUGGCCUCUUUAAAAAACGGGAAAAAUUUUUAAUUGCCAAUAAACAACCGGCAUUAGCAGCUGCAUAAGCGGCUCUCGUUCUCUAUAGGAUUCUGUCGCCUGUAGAAGAACGUCAUUAGACAGACCUUCCUUCGUAGCAGGUUAAACGAAGCUCCCAGUCGGCGUCUGCUCGACCGCUGACUGCGAAUUUAGAGCUAGCAAGUUCUGUUAUGAUGCCUGUGCUCAGCAGGCUUGUGAAAAUUAAGCAUAGGCUGCACCCGGAGAAUUUCCAAUAGAAGCGAUUUCGGACAGGGGUUCGACUCCCCUCGUCUCCACCA
RNAcentral lists this transfer-messenger RNA (376 nucleotides) under Clostridiaceae bacterium. It matches the Rfam family "transfer-messenger RNA". From Rfam's summary of the family: Bacterial tmRNA, also known as 10Sa RNA or SsrA, is named for its dual tRNA and mRNA-like properties. Lineage: Bacteria; Bacillati; Bacillota; Clostridia; Eubacteriales; Clostridiaceae. The record is from RNAcentral. RNAcentral also lists the same sequence under 2 other names.